RNAcentral lists this ribosomal RNA (882 nucleotides) under uncultured bacterium. RNAcentral describes it as "bacterial SSU rRNA". It matches the Rfam family "Bacterial small subunit ribosomal RNA", at positions 28 to 896 of the family's 1533-position model. The record is from RNAcentral.
GACGAACGCUGGCGGCGCGCUUAACACAUGCAAGUCGAGCGAGAACCAGGGCUUCGGCCCUGGGGACAGCGGCGAACGGGUGAGUAUCACGUGGAUAACCUGCCCUCGGCACCGGGAUAGCCCGGGGAAACUCGGAUUAAUACCGGAUAGUUAUUCCGACUCUCGGGUCGGUCUGAAAAGGUAGCUUCGGCCUCUGGCCGAGGAUGGGUCCGCGGCGGAUUAGCUUGUUGGUGGGGUAACGGCCUACCAAGGCGACGAUCCGUAGCUGGUCUGAGAGGACGAUCAGCCACACUGGGACUGAGACACGGCCCAGACUCCUACGGGAGGCAGCAGUGGGGAAUCUUGCGCAAUGGGCGAAAGCCUGACGCAGCGACGCCGCGUGAGGGAGGAAGGCCUUCGGGUUGUAAACCUCUUUCAGGAGGGACGAAGCUACUCGGGUGAAUAGCCCAGAGGGUGACGGUACCUCCAGAAGAAGCCCCGGCUAACUACGUGCCAGCAGCCGCGGUAAUACGUAGGGGGCAAGCGUUGUCCGGAUUUACUGGGCGUAAAGCGCGUGUAGGCGGCCACGCAGGUCCGUUGUGAAAACUGGAGGCUCAACCUCCAGACGUCGACGGAAACCGUGUGGCUAGAGUCCGGAAGAGGAGAGUGGAAUUCCUGGUGUAGCGGUGAAAUGCGCAGAUAUCAGGAAGAACACCAAUGGCGAAGGCAGCUCUCUGGGACGGUACUGACGCUGAGACGCGAAAGCGUGGGGAGCGAACAGGAUUAGAUACCCUGGUAGUCCACGCCGUAAACGAUGGGUGCUAGGUGUGGGGGGUGUCGACUCCCUCCGUGCCGUAGCUAACGCAUUAAGCACCCCGCCUGGGGAGUACGGCCGCAAGGCUA